This is a long non-coding RNA of Cyprinus carpio carpio, 1524 nucleotides long. Lineage: Eukaryota; Metazoa; Chordata; Actinopteri; Cypriniformes; Cyprinidae. The record is from Ensembl.
GUUUAAAAGAUGUCGAGAAACAUAACUUAAUAAAAGUUUUUUUUUUUCUUUUCCCACAAAGAUUAGUCCGAAAUCUAGUCAUCCAGAGCUUGAGAUGUUUCUGUUUUGUAAAUGAAAUCUGUACAACAGGAUGAUUUUUAAACAAUUGCAUGUUUAUUGCAACCAAUGAACACUGAAAUCAGCUUCAUAUGAUAUCAGUCCAUCAAGUCCUUCUUAAAUUAAUAUUAUCAAUACAUAUUCUUCUGUGCAAUUGAUCAGUGCAACAGUGACAUUUAACACGUUUUGGCAAAUACAUUUUCAAGUAUCAUGCAGCAUGUGUUUUUUCUCAUACACCAUCUGCGUUGCUCUUAUUUGAGGUUGUAAAGUUCAUAGACUUGGAUAGAAGACAUCAGAGCCUCCGUUCCCAGUUCAACCAGUUCAAACGUGAGGGAAUAGAGUCAACUGACUCCUCUCACUGAACAAUGAAGCAGCUCUGGUGAUUCCAUUGCGCUUGGGAUAGUAGUAUCCAUCUCCUGUCCUGUAUUCCUGCUGAUCCUGGCCUUUCGUGGAGCUCAUGUGGCGAGCUGAGCCGGCAGCACAGGUGUCGGGCUGCAACCGGUCCGUUCUGAACCAGUUUGUCCAGGAAAUUCCCAUCGAGGGAAGUCGAUUCUCGAAAAGAUCCAAAGCACGUCUUGCUCAACACGCCACGACGGCUCGAUUUGUUGGGAAUGCGGUCAGAGUUUCAGCCUGGCGACAGCUGUUUCCAUUAUUAGUCCUCAAAACCUCCCCCUGGAGAUGUUGCUUCUCCUCAUCCGUGUCCAUUUUUGCCUUCUUCAGAGGUAGAAAGUCAGGCUCGAUCGCUGUCUUACUGCGGCGCUUCCUGGAGUGCCGCUCAGAAGCGCAUUGGUUCUCUUUGUCGUCCUCCACAGUCUCUUUGGGUUCUUGAUGUUUCAUUGCGACCUCCUUAGGAGUUAAAGUCUGUGGAGAGUCUUUGCUUAUCUCCAUGGGCUCCUCUAUGGCCGCGUCGGGAGCGCAGGGGACGACCUGUUCCUCCUCCGCGUCUCUGAGCAGCUGCGCGGUGUGGUAGAUGUCCCGCGCGGCUCUCAUGGUCAUGGAGAGCAGGAGACUCCGGUGAAGACACAGUCCCCCGCGCUGCGUCCUUAAUGAAUACAGUUUACUAAUAGAAACAGCCAUGAUUCUCUUGGCCUCGACGUCCAUUGUGUUUACAAUGUAGCAGAAUGUUUCUUAGACGUGUUUUCUAUUUUUAAAACCUCUGCGCUUUAAGGUCUUCACAGCGGAUUGCAAAACUAAAAGUUUUCUCCUCUCAGGGCGGUGUUUUAUGUGCGCUCGGCUCUGGUGGUGACAUAAAGAGUUUCCAUUCCCCUGGGUGUAUAAACACGUCCCUCCCUAGUCAACAUACGUCAUAUUGGCACAGUACUGAAGUAUCAAGUCAACAUAUGCUCUGUGUUGCCAUGUCUAUAUAUUAUACGCCACUCUCGACUUGUAGAACAUACAAAAAAAAAAAAAAAAUCAUGUUAUUAAAUU